CAGAGGGUGCGAGCGUUGUUCGGAAUUAUUGGGCGUAAAGCGCAUGUAGGCGGCUUGUUAAGUCACGUGUGAAAGCCCCAGGCUCAACCUGGGAAGUGCGCGUGAAACUGGCGAGCUUGAAUCCUGGAGAGGGUGGCGGAAUUCCCGGUGUAGAGGUGAAAUUCGUAGAUAUCGGGAGGAACACCAGAGGCGAAGGCGGCCACCUGGACAGAGAUUGACGCUGAGACGCGAAAGCGUGGGGAGCAAACAGGAUUAGAUACCCUGGUAGUCCACGCUGUAAACGAUGAGUGCUAGCUGUGGCGGGUUUUGACCCCUGCCGUGGCGACGCUAACGCAAUAAGCACUCCGCCUGGGGAGUACGGCCGCAAGGCUA
Molecule: ribosomal RNA, 372 nt
Filed under: uncultured organism
Description: bacterial SSU rRNA
Rfam family: Bacterial small subunit ribosomal RNA
Source: RNAcentral